GGCGUGUACUGCUUGGCUGGGCCUUACUUCUUGGUGAGCCGGCGUGCCCUUUAUUGGUGUGCGUCGGGGAACCAGGACUUUUACCUUGAGAAAAUUAGAGUGUUCAAAGCAGGCCUAUGCCUGAAUACAUUAGCAUGGAAUAAUAGAAUAGGACGUGCGGUUCUAUUUUGUUGGUUUCUAGAGUCGCCGUAAUGAUUAAUAGGGACAGUUGGGGGCAUUGGUAUUGAGUCGCUAGAGGUGAAAUUCUUGGAUUGACUCAAGACCGACUAUUGCGAAAGCAUUUGCCAAGGAUGUUUUCAUUAAUCAAGAACGAAGGUUAAGGGAUCGAAAACGAUCAGAUACCGUUGUAGUCUUAACAGUAAACUAUGCCGACUAGGGAUCGGAUGACCUCAAAAUUGAUGUGUCAUUCGGCACCUUACGAGAAAUCAAAGUCUUUGGGUUGUGGGGGGAGUAUGGUCGCAAGGCUGAAACUUAAAGGAAUUGACGGAAGGGCACCACCAGGUGUGGAGCCUGCGGCUUAAUUUGACUCAACACGGGGGAAACUCACCAGGUCCAGACAUAACUAAGGAUUGACAGAUUGAUAGUUCUUUCAUGGAUUUUAUGGGUGGUGGUGCAUGGGCCGUUCUUAGUUGGUGGAGUGAUUUGUCUGGUUAAUUCCGAUAACGAACGAGACCUUAACCUGCUAAAUAGCCAGGCCGGCCUCGGCUGGUCUCUGGCUUCUUAGAGGGACUGUCAG
Molecule: ribosomal RNA, 736 nt
Filed under: uncultured eukaryote
Lineage: Eukaryota
Description: SSU rRNA
Rfam family: Eukaryotic small subunit ribosomal RNA
Source: RNAcentral